RNAcentral lists this ribosomal RNA (260 nucleotides) under uncultured archaeon. RNAcentral's name for it is "partial 16S ribosomal RNA". It matches the Rfam family "Archaeal small subunit ribosomal RNA", at positions 721 to 982 of the family's 1478-position model. The record is from RNAcentral.
CACUGACAUUAGAUACCCCCGUAGUCCCAGCCGUAAACGAUGUGCGUUAGGUAUGUCGGUAACCACGUGUUACUGAUGUGCCGAAGAGAAAUCGUGAAACGCACCACCUGGGAAGUACGGUCGCAAGGCUGAAACUUAAAGGAAUUGCGGGGAGCACCACAACAGGUGGAGCCUGCGGUUUAAUUGGAUUCAACGCCGGACAUCUCACCGGAUAAGACAGCUGAAUGAUUGUCAAUCUGAAGGUUUUACAUGACUAGCUG